This 60-nucleotide transfer RNA is filed under the name Caerulea coeligena. RNAcentral's name for it is "tRNA-Val". Lineage: Eukaryota; Metazoa; Arthropoda; Insecta; Lepidoptera; Lycaenidae. The record is from RNAcentral.
UAGAUUAUAUCUUAAUAAAAGUAUUUCAUUUACAUUGAAAAGAUGUUAAUUUUUAAUUAA